RNAcentral lists this long non-coding RNA (2777 nucleotides) under Salmo salar (Atlantic salmon). Its description in RNAcentral is "lncRNA (ENSSSAG00000108223.1)". Lineage: Eukaryota; Metazoa; Chordata; Actinopteri; Salmoniformes; Salmonidae. The record is from RNAcentral.
UAAAUACAACAUUAUCAACCUAUACAACUAAACACGACAUUAUCAACCUGCUACAACAUUAUCAACCUAUACAACUAAACACGACAUUAUCAACCUGCUACAACAUUAUCAACCUAUACAACUAAACACAACAUUACCAACCUGCUACAACAUUAUCAACCUAUACAACUAAACACAACAUUACCAACCUGCUACAACAUUACCAACCUGCUACAAGUAAACACAACAUUACCAACCUGCACAACUCAACACAACAUUACCAACCUGCACAACUCAACACAACAUUAUCAACCUGCUACAACAUUAUCAACCUAUACAACUAAACACAACAUUAUCAACCUGCUACAACAUUAUCAACCUAUACAACUAAACACAACAUUACCAACCUGCUACAACUCAACACAACAUUAUCAACCUAUACAACUAAACACAACAUUAUCAACCUGCUACAACAUUAUCAACCUAUACAACUAAACACAACAUUAUCAACCUGCUACAACAUUAUCAACCUAUACAACUAAACACAACAUUACCAACCUGCUACAACUCAACACAACAUUACCAACCUGCUACAACUAAAUACAACAUUAUCAACCUGCUACAACAUUAUCAACCUGUACAACUAAACACAACAUUAUCGACCUGCUACAACUAAACACAACAUUAUCGACCUGCUACAACUAAACACAACAUUACAACCUGCUACAACUAAACACAACAUUAUCGACCUGCUACAACUAAACACAACAUUAUCGACCUGCUACACAGAGAGGAACCAAGCAUAAAUGUAUUUUUCCAUUGAUUGAAAAUAGCUGUCACUGCAGGGGGAUGUUUGUAGCCAUCUUUUCAUUUUAUUUUCUCCUUCAUGUGGGAACAUCUAUAAUAUUAGACCCAUCUCUUUAUUCUCUUGAAUGACUUGUACAGACCAGGGUCUGUACCGACCCCGAGCUGGACUGAGGAGGUUUUAUACAGACCAGGGUCUGUAUCGACCCCGAGCUGGACUGAGGAGGUUUUAUUCAGACCAGGGUCUGUACCGACCCCGAGCUGGACUGAGGAGGUUUUAUACAGACCAGGGUCUGUAUCGACCCCGAGCUGGACUGAGGAGGUUUUAUACAGACCAGGGUCUGUACCGACCCCGAGCUGGACUGAGGAGGUUUUAUUCAGACCAGGGUCUGUAUCGACCCCGAGCUGGACUGAGGAGGUUUUAUACAGACCAGGGUCUGUAUCGACCCCGAGCUGGACUGAGGAGGUUUUAUACAGACCAGGGUCUGUACCGACCCCGAGCUGGACUGAGGAGGUUUUAUACAGACCAGGGUCUGUACUGAGCUGGACUGAGGAGGUUUUAUACAGACCAGGGUCUGUGAUCAACCAAGAUGGACUGAGGAGGUUUUAUACAGACCAGGAUCUGUACCGACCCAGAACUGAACUGAGGAGGUUUUAUACAGACCAGGGUCUGUACCGACCCAGAGCUGGACUGAGGAGGUUUUAUACAGACCAGGGUCUGUACCGACCCAGAGCUGGACUGAGGAGGUUUUAUACAGACCAGGGUCUGUGAUCAACCAAGAUGGACUGAGGAGGUUUUAUACAGACCAGGAUCUGUACCGACCCAGAACUGAACUGAGGAGGUUUUAUACAGACCAGGGUCUGUACCGACCCAGAGCUGGACUGAGGAGGUUUUAUACAGACCAGGGUCUGUACCGACCCAGAGCUGGACUGAGGAGGUUUUAUACAGACCAGGGUCUGUAUCGACCCCGAGCUGGACUGAGGAGGUUUUAUACAGACCAGGGUCUGUACCGACCCCGAGCUGGACUGAGGAGGUUUUAUACAGACAGGGUCUGUGAUCAACCAAGAUGGACUGAGGAGGUUUUAUACAGACCAGGAUCUGUACCGAGCUGGACUGAGGAGGUUUUAUACAGACCAGGGUCUGUAUCGACCCAGAGCUGGACUGAGGGGUUUUAUACAGACCAGGGUCUGUACCGACCCAGAGCUGGACUGAGGAGGUUUGAUACAGACCAGGGUCUGUACCGACCCAGAGCUGGACUGAGGAGGUUUUAUACAGACCAGGGUCUGUACCGAGCUGGACUGAGGAGGUUUUAUACAGACCAGGGUCUGUACCGACCCAGAGCUGGACUGAGGAGGUUUUAUACAGACCAGGGUCUGUAUCGACCCCGAGCUGGACUGAGGAGGUUUUAUACAGACCAGGGUCUGUACCGAGCUGGACUGAGGGGUUUUAUACAGACCAGGGUCUGUACCGACCCAGAGCUGGACUGAGGAGGUUCUAUACCUGGUCUGUGUUCAACCAAGAUGGAAGAGGAACGACUCAAACAUCCGAAUCUUAGUGCCAAGGUUACCGUGGAAACAGAGGAGGGGAACUGAUUUGUCUAAGUAACUAAUAUUAAAACAUUAAAAAAAUAAGUGUUAUGUAAAGUUGUUAUUGUCUAUUUGUUGGAGCGUAAACAGAGAAACAACAGAUGGGACGAUGUGCAUUGUUGUCCUGUCAGGAGUGGAUUGAUUGAUUGAUUGAUUGAUUGAUUGAUUGAUUGAUUGAACUCUGGCUCCAAAGGUAAGGUAGGAGCAGAUGGUAGGGCGAGGCCUCUUCCUAUUGGAGGACCAACAGCCUAUUAUCUAUCAGUCCCACUACCACCCAGUACACCAACUACCCUGUAGAACCAUCAGUCCCACUACCACCCAGUACACCGACUACCCUGUAGAACCCAGCCUAGUACCCAUCAGUCCCACUACCACCCAGUACACUGACUACCCUGUAGAACCCAGCC